CCUAGAAGACUUAUGGAAGACUCUUAGAAGACUUAUGGAAGACUGAUAUCACUCAAAUUACCUUAAAGAGUGAAUUUACUCUCUCAAAUAAGAUGUUCAAUUGGAGUACUUAGGGAUCGAAUCCACAAGGAGCUACGGAACCUAAUGAAUCUAAUAUGAUUUGUUAAGUAAGGUGGUUUUAAUGAUUUAAAUGGAAAGUUGCAGUUUUGUUGAGCAAGUAAUUGCUCGACCGAUUGGUUGAGGUUUUGGUGCUUAAAAGGAAAUUGCUAGACUUAGGGUUUUUAUUCAGGAAACUUGGGAUUAUAAUCCUACAAAUGUCUAAUGAGUUGCAUGCAUGAUAAUAUAAAGUUCAACUACUAAAUCAACAAGUCAAUCAGCUCUCGCAUGUCUAGACUCAUCUAUUAACUAGAUCUAAUUACCCAAACAAAUGUGUUCGAUUAAUAACAGUGUCGAUCGAUGAUCCUAUAUGGAUAUCGAUCGAUACACCUUUCACUUCGUCGAUCGAUUAUUCAGUAUUGAUAUCGAUCGACGCGCUUUUAGUUAAGCUUUAUGUGUGGAUUGAAUGAUGCUUACUAAGCUCACUAGAUCAGCUCUCGCCUUACUCUUAGCAAGAUACUUAGCUCAGUUAGAAUGGUUUCAGGAUAAGAAUGAAGCUAUCGCUUUUAUCUAACAAUCCUAUCGCAAGUUCUAGGUAGCUUAUCUAGAAUCAUGCAUUAAUGACACUCCUAAUGAUAAAUAUCACAACUCAGCAAUCUAUAGUUGGGGCUAACCCUUCAUAACCUAUUUAAACCCUAAAAUCUAACAAUGGAACUACUCAGACAUGACCAAAGAAUUCAUGAAAGCAAUUAGGUAAGAAAACUUCAUUAGAAUAGUAAAUAUAUAUUAAUGGAGUUCCAAUCACAAAUUAUAACUUUGGAUCUUCUCUACAAUCUAUCAAAAUCAAAAACCUUUUGCUGAUAGUAAUAAACCUAGAAACACAAGAAAGCACACUUUGCCUCUAACAUGGUGACAAAGCUUAUAUAAUUAGGUUAAAAUUCGUCAAGAGUAAUCUUGUAAAUUGGUGAAGACUUGGGCUUCAAGUCGGCUGUGACCAAACAUGCCUUCUGCGCACUUUGCUGUCGAUUGAUGUUCUGAUGUGAACAUCAAUUGAUAUUUGUUCCUCAAUAUCGACCGAUGGUCGACCUUGAUGGUCAUCUCGGGUACUUGC
RNAcentral lists this long non-coding RNA (1207 nucleotides) under Brassica napus (rape). RNAcentral describes it as "long non-coding RNA (BNAP_LNC003982)". Lineage: Eukaryota; Viridiplantae; Streptophyta; Magnoliopsida; Brassicales; Brassicaceae. The record is from RNAcentral.